This 535-nucleotide unclassified non-coding RNA is filed under the name Penicillium citreonigrum. RNAcentral's name for it is "sequence contains 18S rRNA gene, ITS1, 5.8S rRNA gene, ITS2, 28S rRNA gene". The stretch from base 216 to 369 matches the Rfam family "5.8S ribosomal RNA". The record is from RNAcentral. Lineage: Eukaryota; Fungi; Ascomycota; Eurotiomycetes; Eurotiales; Aspergillaceae.
GUAACAAGGUUUCCGUAGGUGAUCCUGCGGAAGGAUCAUUACCGAGUGAGGGCCCUCUGGGUCCAACCUCCCACCCGUGUUUAUCGUACCUUGUUGCUUCGGCGGGCCCGCCGCAAGGCCGCCGGGGGGCAUCUGCCCUCUGGCCCGCGCCCGCCGAAGACACCAUUGAACGCUGUCUGAAGAUUGCAGUCUGAGCAAUUAGUUAAAUAACUUAAAACUUUCAACAACGGAUCUCUUGGUUCCGGCAUCGAUGAAGAACGCAGCGAAAUGCGAUACGUAAUGUGAAUUGCAGAAUUCAGUGAAUCAUCGAGUCUUUGAACGCACAUUGCGCCCCCUGGUAUUCCGGGGGGCAUGCCUGUCCGAGCGUCAUUGCUGCCCUCAAGCACGGCUUGUGUGUUGGGCUCCGUCCUCCUCCCGGGGGACGGGCCCGAAAGGCAGCGGCGGCACCGCGUCCGGUCCUCGAGCGUAUGGGGCUUCGUCACCCGCUCUGUAGGCCCGGCCGGCGCUUGCCGACACAUCAAUCUUUCCAGGUGAC